This is a long non-coding RNA of Bombus pyrosoma, 1560 nucleotides long. RefSeq lists it as uncharacterized. The transcript is spliced from 4 exons. NCBI's taxonomy places the organism in Eukaryota, Metazoa, Arthropoda, Insecta, Hymenoptera, Apidae. The record is from RefSeq and is a predicted model, not a curated record.
CGUAGUUUCCUCUGUUCUUUAACAUCAUCAUUUCUAUCCUACACUUAUUGCUCUCAGGUAAUAUAAGGAAAGCGCCAAUACUUAUCUUGUUAUUAAUGGUCAUUUAUAAAACGUCUUGUCUCCUAGAUACAAGGAACACACAGUGAUAUUGCUAUCUCAAUUACGAUGAAGGUAGCUUUCGGAGAAUUCAUGGCAUGUAGUGUAAUAUUACCACGUGUAGUCACAUAAUACUGCUGCUAACACUGGGUGUGCGGAGACAUACACCGUAUUUUAUACACACAUACAUUCUCUCUUGUAUUUUUCUUCACUUUAAUUUUAUUCAUUUAUUAAAGAUUAUAUUUUAACGCUACGUUUUAUUUGGAAUUUUUUCAGUCAAGUUUACUGAUUUAUUGAUCUCCUCUUUUCAGCAUUGCCAUUAUGAAAGCUAAUUCCAAGGAUUUGUUAAAUAUUCUUUUCGUCAUAUCUGUUUCUUCUUCCAUCUAGAUGCUACAAUUCUACGAAGUUUGUUAGUAAGGUACGCGUAUAAACCUGACAGAGGUCGGAGAGCCACCAGGAAUACUGAAAACGAGGGCGAACCUGAUGCGAAAUCAAGGAGCUUGUAGGAUGGAAUCCUGGUAACCGCAGGAGAGUGAAACUUUGUAAACGAACCCGAUGUGAAAUCAGAAUGUCACUACAAUGAAAGUUUGCGGACGAAUCUAAUACGGAAUCGCAAACGUAAGGGCAGCACGCGUGAUGGAGUUUCGCAACAAGCUUGUUUCUCUCGAUCAAGGAGAGCUCGUCGGAGCGUAAGAUUUCCAGACAAGCUGCGACUCUACAGAAACGCCUUGCACAGGAAUGCUUUUACCUGAAGCUCACGUGUCACUGACAGCAAUGCAAGAGUCGUUCUCAUGUACAUACGCACAGGUAUGCGAAUAGAGCUACGUGGUCGAAGGUUUGUUCCGUAGACACGUACACGUAGCACAAAGCUGCGGACCGUGAGACAAGCUUUGAUCGCCUGGUAGAAUCGUGUACACAGUAAAUGCACUUGGACGUUAGUGCAGUGGCAUGUAUGUGGCAGGACGCAACAUGGGGAUCGUAGGAACAUCGUCUACCGUUCAUGGUCUUACUACCUACGCACCGUCCGUGGCAAGUCUUCCAUUAGUAUAAAAGCAGAAACACAGUUACACUUUGUUUCAACGUAUGCCGCGCCAUGAAAUUAGUAUUAAAUUGCUAGUUACAGGUCCUGUUAGUUCUGAUUGGUGGCGUUUGAUUUACGUACCGUGUAAAAUGCUAAAUAUGAAACAUUAUAUAGAAAAUAUGUUAAAUGGAGCUAUAAUAUUGCAGAACAUGACGUUAAUUGGUAUUUAAAUAUGCCAACAAUGUGUGCCAUUUUGCUAUCACAAUGUUUUAAUCGGUGUUUGAGUACGCCAAUCGUGUUGUCUCUACGAUAUUUGAAUUUAUACAAUAUUUAUUGUUUAUAAAGUAAUUGCGACGAAUAAGAUAAUAAAGCUGUCGAUAAUUUGUUGAAGCAAUUGUUUGUCUAAUAACUAGGUGUAAUGUAACAGAAAAUGUUCUCUGAAA